CGUCUGGGACGGAGGAGUCACUCCUGCAGGAACACUCUCAGUAGGGUACUCAAUCACAACGGUGUGAUCAAGUAAUGUCGCGCAACAUGUCAUUCAUCGCUGUUGCAGUCAUGGGAAGGGCUGCCAAAAGUGGACAAGGUAAAUGUCAGAUCGGGUGACAUCGCGAAAAUUUAGGUUUACUCGGUAUCAUCCGGCCUUAGCCACACUCAGCUACCGCCAAGAACAUUCUUUCUGCUCCCAACGCCCGAAGAAAUCAGAAGUGCGCGCGGUUUUACUGAAAUUAAUAUCAGAUUAGCAGAUUAAAAAUGAGGCGAAUAUACAUAGUGAUAAUUAAAUCGGGUCAAGUGAAUUAAAAGGUGUUAGUACGUGUUCCCAAUACGAAAAGCAUGACAUGGAAAGCACGGAACAUACAAUUUAAAAAAGAGUCAAAAAGGUCCCCAGUGGACCUUUUUGUUUCCGGCUUCGGACUUCGUCCGAAGAAUAUUUUCACAGGAGAGAUUCCUCGACCGCCUACUACGCAGCGGACAGAUCAUGAUCGGGAGUGCCGUGAGUCCCUGCAACCAGAACCGAAGGUUGGACGUGCUAGACAAUCCGUCACCAUAUUGUCGUCAGCAUCUUCAACAAGGAUCGGUAACCAGUUCGUUUCCGGUCAAUACCACAACCACGAUAAUCGACACCCCGGAAGGAUCGAAGCGUCCACUAUAAGCGGUCACAGAUCCGCCAUUGCUGUUCUCGUCGGCUAUACGCUAUGCCGCCAUCGCACACCCUACACCAACAAAUAAAAUCCGCAAGUAG
Molecule: long non-coding RNA, 795 nt
Organism: Topomyia yanbarensis
Lineage: Eukaryota; Metazoa; Arthropoda; Insecta; Diptera; Culicidae
Exons: 4
Source: RefSeq, a predicted model, not a curated record